RNAcentral lists this ribosomal RNA (497 nucleotides) under uncultured bacterium. RNAcentral's name for it is "partial 16S ribosomal RNA". It matches the Rfam family "Bacterial small subunit ribosomal RNA", at positions 28 to 507 of the family's 1533-position model. The record is from RNAcentral.
GAUGAACGCUGGCGGCGUGCCUAAUACAUGCAAGUCGAGCGAACAGACGAGGAGCUUGCUCCUCUGACGUUAGCGGCGGACGGGUGAGUAACACGUGGAUAACCUACCUAUAAGACUGGGAUAACUUCGGGAAACCGGAGCUAAUACCGGAUAAUAUAUUGAACCGCAGGGUUCAAUAGUGAAAGACGGUUUUGCUGUCACUUAUAGAUGGAUCCGCGCCGCAUUAGCUAGUUGGUAAGGUAACGGCUUACCAAGGCAACGAUGCGUAGCCGAGCUGAGAGGGUGAUCGGCGACACUGGAACUGAGACACGGUCCAGACUCCUACGGGAGGCAGCAGUAGGGAAUCUUCCGCAAUGGGCGAAAGCCUGACGGAGCAACGCCGCGUGAGUGAUGAAGGUCUUCGGAUCGUAAAACUCUGUUAUUAGGGAAGAACAAAUGUGUAAGUAACUAUGCACGUCUUGACGGUACCUAAUCAGAAAGCCACGGCUAACUACGUG